UGCAGAGUUACAAAAUACAAAUUCACAAAGUGAAACCAAAGCAAAACCAAAAGUUAACAACUAGGGGGUUUCCCGGGGUUUCUUGCCCAGCAAAGGAAAGAGGCAGACAAGACACCAACAGCAGCAGCCCUCCUUCUGUCAUCUUCUGUCUCGAGUUCAGGCGAUCUGCAACUGUACAGUGUUUGUUAGAGAACAACAGAGGAAUCAAGAGAAGGAGGAAGAGAAGAAGAAAAGCAGGAAGGGAGAAAAGAAAUAAUGAAGCGCUGCCACCAUGUGAGCAACUUCCCUCAGCCAAGACCCACCCUUCCUUGGAGCUCCCCACCUUAGGCUGAAAACGUGAGCCAGGCUGACCCUGAACUCCAGGGCUGAAGUGAUCCUCCUGCCUCCAGCUCCAAAGUAGCAGAAUCUCCAG
This 412-nucleotide long non-coding RNA is filed under the name Heterocephalus glaber (naked mole-rat). RNAcentral's name for it is "lncRNA (ENSHGLG00000043822.1)". Lineage: Eukaryota; Metazoa; Chordata; Mammalia; Rodentia; Bathyergidae. The record is from RNAcentral.